AACACGCUGUGACGUCAUCACCUCAUGGUUCCGGAUUGCAGCAGGUGCGAGGACCCAAAUUGUGACACUUUCGGUCGUGGUAAAAUAAGGCGUCUUAUCCACACAAAAUGCGGAAAUUGGAAGCGGGGACAUGCAACUUUGGUAAUUCUGUUUCAACAUGAUGCUUGCCCUGAAAGUCAAGGAAAGGUUAGAAGUUAGUUUCCUCUUCUCCUCUUUCUCCUUCAGCUGCUCAUAGAUUUGUUCUCCUGGGAUUAAAGACAGAUCAAUUAAGAAAGAACACAGAAAUGGAAAGAACAAGGAAAUAUAAGAAGAUAAAGAACAAGGAAAUAUAAGAGGACAUACAAUAAGUUUCUUGACUGAGACUAGUGUUAUUGGAGGUGGACCAAUGAUCGGGACCAGCACAGCUGCCAAUUCCUGUGGUAUGAUGCCUUGGGUCACCAGAGGAUGGCCCAUGACAAACUGACCACAAGAAUGGCAGAGAGGGUCUUGCCGUGAUGAAAUGUUGUCUCCCCCUGGUCCCAUGUUGUUGAUGGGAUCGAACUCUGGAUCUUUGGGCGCUAGCUGUGACUUAUCGAUGGCAUCUUUAUCGAACGGGAAAAUGCCACAUUUCCUGAAUCCAGCCUUGAUAUUGUGAGGACUGAAGACCUUGUCCACAGCAGCUUGAAGUACCUGAGCUAGUCUUGAUGAAUUAAAAAAGAAGCUUAGACUGACUGCUAAAUCAGACACAGCUUUUUUUAGUGGCCUGAAAAGCACAACAUCUAGCGGUUGAAGGAGAUGGGUCGUAUGGGGUGGCAAGCAGAAGAACUCUAUCUGGUUGGCUCUAGCCAUAUCAAUAAGUGGAAUCGAAAGGUGACUCUCGUGGUUGUCAAGCACCAGUAAAAUAGGUCUGGACCUAGGCACAUGCUUCAGAAAAAUUUCCUGGAACCAUUUUCGGAACAAGUCCGAGUCCAUGUAGCCAUUUUCUGACGUGCCGAAAAGCCAACUUUGUGGAAUUCCUUCAGGAAAGAAAACAAAAGGUUUGUUUCAGCAACACUCACC
This is a long non-coding RNA of Pecten maximus, 1038 nucleotides long. RefSeq lists it as uncharacterized. The transcript is spliced from 5 exons. The record is from RefSeq and is a predicted model, not a curated record. NCBI's taxonomy places the organism in Eukaryota, Metazoa, Mollusca, Bivalvia, Pectinida, Pectinidae.